UCGUUUUUCUCUCGAUUCUCUCCUCAACAAUAAACUCAUUAAUCACUCCCUAGCCGAUAAGUUAGAUGAAGAUUUGCAGAGAGACAGAUGUAUUGUUGUUGAUGGCGAUGCUUCUUCGCUUCUUCCAGGACAUGCUCACGUGUGUGAGGGUUUUAGGGAAGUUUCUGAGGAUGUUUUUGGGGCCUAUUAAUGUUCGUGCAUCUUGGAAAGAUGUGCAGCUUAAGGUCAAAGACGUGCAUCUCGCCGUAUCCGUAGUUUCAAGAUAUCUAACUUUCAUGUAAUGGAGAUGUUAAGAUCCAAACUGGUACGCUGAGUGUUUUUAUAAAACCAGAAGGAGUUUGCGCCAGAGUUUCUAUUGGACAGGGCUUUUUCUUAUCACUUUUUAAGGACAACAAUAACCACCAUUCGAAAGAGGCCCUUCAUCAUGCUAAGUUUAAGUUCCCCGGUCGUCAAAAGAUAAUGGUAGUUCUUUCAUAAAGGAAAAAAAUUCAGCUUAAGAGACGAACACACAUACAUUGAGAUUGAAGUAGCAGUAUUGGAAGAUGGUAAAGGUUUAAGCAACUGGGAGUAUUCAGUCAUACAAUAGGUUAAUUUUACUAAUUAUUUCAUUAUGUAACUUAGCUUAAUGUCGAAAAAUGAAUGAUAAUAAUUACAAUACAAUUGAAUGCAUGAUCUCCCACAAACUAUCCAAUGGUCAGCCACAUCUUACUCACAUACGCGGUUCAACCACCAAUCCUAUUUAGGUGGUGAAUGCGGGUCACUUUCAAGGUCAGCCUUCAUUCAACUAUAUCAGAAAUCCAGAACCACCCCAACUCCUUGUUGAUCUCAGAGCAGAACAGUACUAAAUAAAAAAAUAGGUAGUGAAAUAAUUGUCUUUUCAUACUUUUGAAAGCUACUAUAUAACAAGUAUGUGUUCUACAAUCUGAGUAAAAAUGUUCAUCUUAUUCUACUUUAAUAUUGGUUGGAAACUUGACUGCUGUUGGUAUUUCUAUGGGAGCUUUCUACAGCUUGGUGUGUAACAGGUUUGGUCAUAUAUUGCAACCUCUGAGGUGAACUUACUGAUCCAAUAACUAGAUUUCAUUUAAUAAUAUCUGCAAAUCUCCCUCUCCUGAGUUGAACUUACUGAUCCAAUAUAUAUAUUUCAUUUAAUAACUAGAAAAACUUUAAGAGAAGCUAUUAAGAAAUAUCUCAAAAUUAAUGAUUUGGAUAUAAGCAUGGUUCGGGAUACAACAUUAUCGGAAAAGUUGUUCCAUGUAAUCGAUUCGAUUCCACUUAGUGGGAUAGGGCUUGGUUGUUUCUGUUAUACUUGAAGGUUAUCUUCUGUUGUUAUUCUUUUCAUUCUUAAAUGUCUUUUGCUUUCAUUUACUACUUGUGCACAUCUCAUGAGAGAUUCAGAUACUACUAGUAUUGCAUUUUUUUCUUUUAAUGUUACUUAUUACUAAGGAUAUUUGGAGUUUGGACAUGGUUUUAUAGGAUCCUAUUGAAACUGAAUAUCUGACUCUGUCCUUUGACAUCUUGGUUGCACUUGCUUGUAUCUCUAUUAUUCUAGAAACAUGUGCUGGUUUGCUUUUAUAAAUUUAGAAUUUAAGGUUUAACUAGAAACAUGUUCUGGUUUGCCUUAUAGGUUUAUAACUGCUGCUUUAUCAUUCAGCUACCUUUGGAAUGAUCAAAUGGCAUCACAAUUUGCCUUAGAGAUUAAGGUAUAUUGAGAGCCUCAACAGUCUGGAGAUUGGCAGGUGCUACUUGAAUGAACUCGACGAAUCUUGUUUCAUUAGGAUUCGAAUUACGGCUACAACUUGAUUGGACUUGGUGGGUUGAUUUAUGUUUUGCUAUGAAAUUGUUUCCCAUACAUGAAUACAAGGCAUAUAGGUAUGCAUUUUGUGUAAGCAUCUGUUUGUUUGAAAAUUCAAAAAAUCUCAAGGAAAUAUCAACAUGAUAUUAGAAUGUCUCUUUCAGUGUGGGUCAACAUGUCAUAAUCCAGCAUUCCUCAAUCCUCACGGUCCCUUAUUUUAUUUGUUUUGACACUCCCUGACCAUGUGUUGAGACAACAGAUUGAGAAGGGUCCAGCAUUGAUAACAACAAAGGAUGCUGGAGAUGCAGUAGCUUUACUUCAGUCAUUAACCGGCUCCACUUAAAGCUACAUCAAAUUCUUGGAGAGGAAAGAGGAAAGAUUCAGCUCAUGUGUACUUCUUUUUAUUUUCAAAUGUUCAGUUUCUAGGUAGAGUUUGUUUGGUGGUGCAAAUUGUAAGAGGAAAGAUAGAGUUAGUUUUGUCAAUGGAUUUUUGUUGUUUUUAAGUGUUUAAUUUAACUCUUGUUUUGAAUCCCAUGGUUUUGAAUUUGGGAAGACAUCAAAACUUAAUUAUCUAUAUUUUAUCGAA
Molecule: long non-coding RNA, 2378 nt
Organism: Vicia villosa (hairy vetch)
Lineage: Eukaryota; Viridiplantae; Streptophyta; Magnoliopsida; Fabales; Fabaceae
Exons: 8
Source: RefSeq, a predicted model, not a curated record